GUCUCAGCUCGAGCAUUCCUAGCGCCAACACGCCCUCAGGUAAAGGUGGAAGUAAAUGGCCACGCUGUAUUGACAGAGCAGGUAGAUGAAACUCAAGAGAAAAGGUGUGGAUAAAUGAAACUAGCCCAUGAUGAACCUGUUUUCUCCGUGACCACAAUAUUAACCAGGAUGAAUGGCGGUGGCAGUGGGCCUGCAUCACAGGUUGCAGCAGAUGUUCUCAAUAUUUCUAUUAAAAUUUCCUUAUUUCCAUAUGCAAGAGGAGCCCCAGAGCUGCAUCCUUAUGGUAGCUACCAUGCCGUGAUGUAAGCUGCCAUUCACUGGGGAGCUUUGGCAAUAGAAUUGGCUAGAUCAGGAAGCCUAUGUCAACUAUGGAACAACAACUUGCAGCUCAUCUCUAUUGAUGGUGAAACAGUCGCAAAUGGAAUUCCAAGAAACAUUCUAUCAUCAGGUAUUAUCUACUGCUGUCUGCAGAAUUCAGACAUGGAGGGCUCAAUGGUGUCCCCUGGUCUUUGGAACAUUCUGUAUUUUAAUGAUCAUGAUACACUGCCUCUAGGACUGGGACAGAUAGCCACUGAGUACCUGCUUCAAAUCACCCUGCACGUUUUCUCUUUGGAAAGAUAAGCACUGGAGAACCAUCUCGUUACCUUCAGCAGAAAUGGAAACAAAUCAAGACAUUAAGAAUGCCGCAGUGGACAGCAGUUAUGCAAGGUUCAGCAGAGGAAGUUUUCAAGAUGGUGUGCCUCACUAGCCAGAAAUCAGAAAAGAUCGAAGCUAGCCUUUUCAUCUCAGCUGCUCCUUAAAUCAGUGCAACCCCUCCAAAUUAAUGUGAAUUGAAACUUGCAUUGCUUUUCAACUUAAUUGAAUACUUACUAUAUGUGAACCACUGCACAAAAUAGGGGAAGAAGAUGUGGGAGACAAAGAUGUGGAGCCUGUCUUCAAUAAAUUUACAGUUAGUUUCAGGGUACAUUGUUUUUCUUCUGCUGUUAAUUAGGUGUAUCCCCAAGACAAUAAAUACAUGAAUGGAAAAGUAUAUUCUGUGUUUUAAGUCUCUUUAAUAAAAAACAAAACAAAAUCCAAAAAAACUCCUAACAUGGCAACUCAGGACAUUUUAAUCCUUUUUUUUGUUGUUGGGCUUCUGAUAGGAUCCAUUUUAUUGAUUCCAUAAAUAUUUAGUAGACUUUAGACAUAUUAAUACAUUGUAGUUUGAGUUAAUUUGCAUUAAAUUCUGUUUUUUUCCCCUUAGGUAUAGAUUGUCUGUUGGAAAAAUAUAUUGCUUGUGGAUUUCUUGGGGAGUGGGAAGGUGAAUUAUACCUGUUGUCUCUACAGUCCACUACCUUCCACACCCUAGGGCAGUGGUCCCCAACCUUCUUGGCACCAGGGAUCAGUUUCCUGGAAGACAAUUUUUCUGUGGAUGGUGUGGGGAUGGUUUUGGGAUGGAACUGUUCCACCUCAGAUCAUCAGGCAUUAGUUAGGCUCUCAUAACGAGUGCGCAGCCUAGAUCCCUCACAUGCACAGUUCACAGUAGGGUUUGCGCUGCUAUGAGAAUCUAAGGCUGCCACUGAUCUGACAGGAGGCAGAACUCAGGUGGCAAUGCUUACUGGCCCACUGCUCACCUCUUGCUGUGCGGCCUGGUUCCUAAUAGGCCAUGGACCCCCACAGACGGGUACUAGUCUGCAGCCUGUGGACCCCAGCCCUAGGGGCCUGCCAUUCUGAGUGAGUUAUUAGCAUGAAGAAGAGGAAGAUCUGGAUCAAACGUGGGUGAUGGUACUCAGAGACCCAAGAUAGGAUAGGGAUGGAACAAAAUCCAUCUGGGCAACGGCUCUAUGAAAAUUUGGCUAAGUAAUUAUUUCAGUAUUCAUUGUAUUCAUUGUCCUUCGUGUUCCAUAAGUUAAAUGACUGUCUAAUUUUUCCAAAAAUUUAUUUCUGACUUGAGAAUAAGUGUGUCAUGAUUUUCCCAGUGUAAAGACACUGAUAUAACUGUAGAUACCAGACAUUUUAUGUAGUGUCUAUGACACAUUUUAGUAUGUAUGAGCCAACAAUAGACAUGUCUUUGUCUUGAGGAGUGUCCAUCUGAAUUGAAAAUGUGUCAGCUUUUUUUUAACAUCAUCAACAGACUUCUUAAUUAAGCUGCCAAUACAUACUGCCAAUAGCACUGUGUGCUGUCUGAGAAAUGCAUUGUGUAAGUGCUAUUUCCAUCUUAUUAAAUAAACAAUGUUGCUCUGUAUAAACUGGAUUUAAAGUGUUCUUUGAAUGAGGCAUUAUAUUGCUCCAUAAAUAAUGUGAUGUGAAUUCUCAUAUGAUCCCUUUUAACUUAAUUUCUAAAAAAAUAUUAUUUGCUCCUCAGUAAGGAAUAGCUCUAAUUGGACUGGUAACUUUAGUGAUAUGAUUUGUCUGUAACAGGCUGAAUCGCCCCACUCCCAAACUCCUGGUCGUGAUACUGGAUAUUUGUUAUGCCACUUUUAGUUUGCAUGAGGUAUCUUCCAGGAAGUAUUAGUUAUUAACUUGUGUUCUACUAAACUGUAGAUAUUUAUUUCCUGUUCUGGAAGAUUUCUUGGAGUGUCCAUCUGUGCAUUCCUGGUGCCUAGUGUAGUCUUGCUAAUGGAAUAGCACCUUUAUUGGUGCUACUUAGGGGUUGGUAGCUUACAAUCAAUCUACUUGGAACGUAUCCAAAUAAACUGGAUAUUUUUAUACA
Molecule: long non-coding RNA, 2692 nt
Filed under: Homo sapiens (human)
Lineage: Eukaryota; Metazoa; Chordata; Mammalia; Primates; Hominidae
Description: NR2F1 regulatory antisense RNA 1, transcript variant 14 (NR2F1-AS1)
Source: RNAcentral